UGGGGGAUAUUGCACAAUGGGCGAAAGCCUGAUGCAGCGACGCCGCGUGGGGGAUGAAGGCCUUCGGGUUGUAAACUUCUUUUGCUCUGAACAAGGCGCACCAUGGGGUGUGUUGAGUGUAGGGGUUGAUUAGCGCCGGCUAACUACGUGCCAGCAGCCGCGGUAAUACGUAGGGCGCGUGCGUUGUCCGGAAUUAUUGGGCGUAAAGGGCUUGUAGGUGGCUGGUUGCGUCUGUCGUGAAAGCUCAUGGCUUAACUGUGGGUUUGCGGUGGGUACGGGCUGGCUUGAGUGCAGUAGGGGAGGCUGGAAUUCCUGGUGUAGCGGUUGAAUGCGCAGAUAUCAGGAGGAAUGCCGGUUGCUAAGGCGUGUCUCUGGGCUGUUACUGACACUGAGGAGCGAAAGCAUGGGGAGCGAACAGG
Molecule: ribosomal RNA, 419 nt
Filed under: bacterium
Lineage: Bacteria
Description: partial 16S ribosomal RNA
Rfam family: Bacterial small subunit ribosomal RNA
Source: RNAcentral